GACGGAGGAUGCAAGUGUUAUCCGGAAUCACUGGGCGUAAAGCGUCUGUAGGUGGUCAAAUAAGUCAACUGUUAAAUCUUGAGGCUCAACCUCAAAAUCGCAGUCGAAACUAUUAGACUAGAGUAUAGUAGGGGUAAAGGGAAUUUCCAGUGGAGCGGUGAAAUGCGUAGAGAUUGGAAAGAACACCGAUGGCGAAGGCACUUUACUGGGCUAUUACUGACACUCAGGGACGAAAGCUAGGGGAGCGAAUGGG
RNAcentral lists this ribosomal RNA (253 nucleotides) under uncultured bacterium. RNAcentral's name for it is "partial 16S ribosomal RNA". It matches the Rfam family "Bacterial small subunit ribosomal RNA", at positions 524 to 776 of the family's 1533-position model. The record is from RNAcentral.